UACGUAGGGUGCAAGCGUUAAUCGGAAUUAUUGGGCGUAAAGAGCUCGUAGGCGGUUUGUCGCGUCUGCUGUGAAAACUCGGGGCUCAACUCCGAGCUUGCAUUCGAUACGGGCAGGCUAGAGUUCGGUAGGGGAGACUGGAAUUCCUGGUGUAGCGGUGAAAUGCGCAGAUAUCAGGAGGAACACCGGUGGCGAAGGCGGGUCUCUGGGCCGAUACUGACGCUGAGGAGCGAAAGCGUGGGGGAGCGAACAGG
This 254-nucleotide ribosomal RNA is filed under the name uncultured bacterium. Its description in RNAcentral is "partial 16S ribosomal RNA". It matches the Rfam family "Bacterial small subunit ribosomal RNA", at positions 524 to 776 of the family's 1533-position model. The record is from RNAcentral.